RNAcentral lists this ribosomal RNA (1407 nucleotides) under Triticum aestivum (bread wheat). Its description in RNAcentral is "partial small subunit ribosomal RNA". Lineage: Eukaryota; Viridiplantae; Streptophyta; Magnoliopsida; Poales; Poaceae. The record is from RNAcentral.
AUGUUCGAGUAUCUAAAUGUUGUUAGCAAGAUGUUUGAUAGUGAGGCUGAAGGCUAUGAAUUCUACAACAAAUAUGCUCUUGAAAAAGGUUUUAGUGUGAGGAAAAGCUACGUUGAGUGGGAUGGAUCCAACAAAUACAUAAUUUUAAGGAAAAUUGUGUGUAGUCAUCAAGGGUUUCGCGAAGAGAAGCACAUGAAACGAAAGAUGGAAGAUAGAAAGAGGAGGCCACGAAGUUUAACUCGUGUUGGGUGUAAUGCUAAAUUGGUCAUUAUGAGACAGGAGGAAACCGGUCGGUGGUUUGUCAAGGAUUUCAUCGAUGAGCACAGCCAUCCUCUAGCCCCACGGGAUCUUUCUUGUCUGCUGCGUUCACACAGACGAAUUAGUGAUGAGCAGAAAGCGGACAUUGCGGACAUGGAAAAAUGUGGGAUCCGCAAAUACCGUAUUAUGGAUAUUUUGUGCUUUCAAUACGGUGGAUUUGAUAAGGUUGGAUGCAUAAAGAGGGACAUUUAUAAUUUCUGCCAUGCUAAUAAGCAGGAGACAAUCAGUGCCGGUGAUGCUAAUACGGUGAUCAUGCACAUGAUGGCGAGGCGAGAGCGAGAUGUGGAUUUUUUCUUCAAGUACAUGGUAGACGAGCAUGGCCAUCUGAAGGGACUGUUCUGGGCUGAUAGUCAAUCGCGACUUGACUACGAGGCUUUCGAAGACGUCAUUGUUUUCGAUAGCACAUACAGAACCAACAAAUACAAUCUGCCAUUCGUGCCGUUUGUCGGGUUGAAUCACCACCGCAGCACUGUUAUUUUUGGCUGUGGUAUAAUUUCUCAUGAAACAAGCCAGGCAUACGAGUGGAUGUUGCGGACCUUUUCUAAUUGCAUGGCACAGAAGCAUCCGAUAUCUGUGAUCACAGAUGGGGACCUUGCAAUGCAGAGAGCAAUAAGGGUGGUCUGGCCAGACUCAAACCAUAGACUAUGUAUAUGGGACAUUCAGCAGAACAUUGUAUGCCAUCUGCAUGAUGACGACGUAAAGGAGGAAUUCAGAUCUUUCAUUUAUGAUACUUCUUCCAUUGAAGAGCAUGAGUUAAAAUGGAUACAAUUCUUACAACGGAAUAAAGUAACCAGUGAGGAGUCUUGGCUGCAUCAGAUGUAUCAGAUGAGAAAGUUGUGGUGUGCUCCAUAUCUUGAGGGGCGUUGUUUCCUAGGAUUGAGCAGCAAUCAGAGGAGUGAGAGCUUGAACUCUGUGCUACAUACGCAUCUUGAGGGUAAGAUGUCGUUGUUUGAAAUGGUAGAGCACUAUGAGUGUUGCCUUGCGUUGCGACGGAUUAACGAAGCUCUCCAUGACGUCGAAGCCUUGCAGUCCGUUCCAUUUACAGAGGAAAAUGCUUCGCCGCUUGAGAAACAUGCCGCAACAGUUUUC